Molecule: ribosomal RNA, 292 nt
Filed under: uncultured bacterium
Lineage: Bacteria
Description: partial 16S ribosomal RNA
Rfam family: Bacterial small subunit ribosomal RNA
Source: RNAcentral
GUGCCAGCAGCCGCGGUAAAACGUAGGAGGCGAGCGUUAUCCGGAGUUACUGGGCGUAAAGCGCGCGCAGGCGGUUCGUUAAGUCGGGCGUGAAAGCCCCAUGCUAAACGUGGGGAGGACGAACGAUACUGGCGAACUAGAGUAGAGCAGAGGGACAUGGAAUUCCGGGUGUAGCGGUGAAAUGUGCAGAUAUCCGGAGGAACACCAGAGGUGAAAACGGUGUCCUGGGCUCAUACUGACGCUGAGGUGCGAAAGCGUGGGGAGCGAACGGGAUUAGAAACCCCAGUAGUCC